UGGGGAAAGUUUCGGUUUUUCAUUCUUUCUUGUCACGGCGGCGCAUCUAGCUAGAGACUGGAUCUAGACCGGAGACGAGCAGGGCGCAAGGCCGGCGGCGCAUCCGGACGUGAUCAGGCUAGCCGCUCCAACUCGUCGCCUCUCCCUAGUUCACUGCUGCUCUUCGUCAGGUCGCCCGCUGAGCGGCCCCUCCGUCUCUCUGCCUUGAUGUCUGGUCGUCCGCCGCCCGCAGCUACCUAUCUCCGCCAGCAUGCAUGGCUGCAGGCUCCGCAAGUGCGGCCCUCGUGGCCGGCGAUUGGUGGCCGGCCUACCCCUGCAAGCUGUGCUUGCCUGUCUCCUACAUCGAGCAGAUGAGCUGCAGAGAGAAGACAUGGCUAACGCCUGACGAUCAGAUUGUUGUUGGAAAUAGCAAAUUUGCAGUCACUAUGUCAGAGCUACUGAAUACUUGUAAUUUUUCAUCGUAGAUUCUAUUGUUGGCUUGGACAUGUUGCUUGCUUCUGCACAAAUUUAAAUUAUAUUUAUGCUCUAUAUCUUGAGCUUGCAGUGCUA
Long non-coding RNA from Panicum virgatum (switchgrass), 549 nucleotides. RefSeq lists it as uncharacterized. The record is from RefSeq and is a predicted model, not a curated record. Lineage: Eukaryota; Viridiplantae; Streptophyta; Magnoliopsida; Poales; Poaceae. The transcript is spliced from 2 exons.